Molecule: ribosomal RNA, 410 nt
Filed under: uncultured microorganism
Description: bacterial SSU rRNA
Rfam family: Bacterial small subunit ribosomal RNA
Source: RNAcentral
CAGCAGCCGCGGUAAUACGUAGGGGGCGAGCGUUGUCCGGAAUUAUUGGGCGUAAAGCGCGCGCAGGCGGUCCCUUAAGUCUGAUGUGAAAGCCCACGGCUCAACCGUGGAGGGUCAUUGGAAACUGGGGGACUUGAGUGCAGAAGAGGAGAGCGGAAUUCCACGUGUAGCGGUGAAAUGCGUAGAGAUGUGGAGGAACACCAGUGGCGAAGGCGGCUCUCUGGUCUGUAACUGACGCUGAGGCGCGAAAGCGUGGGGAGCAAACAGGAUUAGAGACCCUGGUAGUCCACGCCGUAAACGAUGAGUGCUAAGUGUUAGAGGGGUUAAACCCUUUAGUGCUGUAGCUAACGCGUUAAGCACUCCGCCUGGGGAGUACGGCCGCAAGGCUGAACCUUAAAGGAAUUGGCGGG